Molecule: ribosomal RNA, 615 nt
Filed under: uncultured bacterium
Lineage: Bacteria
Description: bacterial SSU rRNA
Rfam family: Bacterial small subunit ribosomal RNA
Source: RNAcentral
CCUACGGGAGGCAGCAGUGGGGAAUUUUGGACAAUGGGCGCAAGCCUGAUCCAGCAAUGCCGCGUGCAGGAUGAAGGCCUUCGGGUUGUAAACUGCUUUUGUACGGAGCGAAAAGGCCUACUUUAAUACAGUGGGCUAAUGACGGUACCGUAAGAAUAAGCACCGGCUAACUACGUGCCAGCAGCCGCGGUAAUACGUAGGGUGCGAGCGUUAAUCGGAAUUACUGGGCGUAAAGCGUGCGCAGGCGGUUAUGCAAGACAGAUGUGAAAUCCCCGGGCUCAACUUGGGACCUGCAUUUGUGACUGCAUAGCUAGAGUACGGUAGAGGGGGAUGGAAUUCCGCGUGUAGCAGUGAAAUGCGUAGAUAUGCGGAGGAACACCGAUGGCGAAGGCAAUCCCCUGGACCUGUACUGACGCUCAUGCACGAAAGCGUGGGGAGCAAACAGGAUUAGAUACCCUGGUAGUCCACGCCCUAAACGAUGUCAACUGGUUGUUGGGUCUUCACUGACUCAGUAACGAAGCUAACGCGUGAGUUGACCGCUGGGGAGUUCGGCCGCAAGGUUGAAACGUUNAAUUGAAUUGACGNUUGAGNGNGCGAGCGACGACGAGGAGGAGG